RNAcentral lists this ribosomal RNA (520 nucleotides) under uncultured archaeon. RNAcentral describes it as "bacterial SSU rRNA". It matches the Rfam family "Archaeal small subunit ribosomal RNA", at positions 325 to 849 of the family's 1478-position model. The record is from RNAcentral.
ACGGGGCGCAGCAGGCGCGAACACUUUACAAUGCGGGAACCGCGAUAAGGGAACCCCGAGUGCCAGCAUCAAAUGUUGGCUGUCCAGAUGAUUAAAAAUCAUUUGUUAGCAAGGGCCGGGCAAGACCGGUGCCAGCCGCCGCGGUAACACCGGCGGCCCGAGUGGUAGCCGUUUUUAUUGGGUCUAAAGGGUCCGUAGCCGGCCUGAUAAGUCCUUUGGGAAAUCUGGCAGCUUAACUGUCAGGCUUCUAAGGGAUACUGUCAGGCUUGGGACCGGAAGAGGUAAGGGGUACUCCAGGGGUAGGAGUGAAAUCUUGUAAUCCCUGGGGGACCAUCUGUGGCGAAGGCGCCUUACCAGAACGGGUCCGACGGUGAGGGACGAAAGCUAGGGGAGCAAACCGGAUUAGAUACCCGGGUAGUCCUAGCUGUAAACGAUGCUCGCUAGGUGUCAGACACGGUGCGACCGUGUUUGGUGCCGCAGGAAGCCGUUAAGCGAGCCACCUGGAAGUACGUCGCAAGGC